AAGGCCUUCGGGUCGUAAAACUCUGUUAUCAGGGAAGAACAAGCAUCGUUUAACUGACGGUGCCAUGACGGUACCUGACCAGAAAGCCACGGCUAACUACGUGCCAGCAGCCGCGGUAAUACGUAGGUGGCAAGCGUUGUCCGGAAUUAUUGGGCGUAAAGCGCGCGCAGGCGGCUUCUUAAGUCUGAUGUGAAAGCCCACGGCUCAACCGUGGAGGGUCAUUGGAAACUGGGAGGCUUGAGUGCAGAAGAGGAGAGCGGAAUUCCACGUGUAGCGGUGAAAUGCGUAGAGAUGUGGAGGAACACCAGUGGCGAAGGCGGCUCUCUGGUCUGUAACUGACGCUGAGGCGCGAAAGCGUGGGUAGCGAACAGGAUUAGAUACCCUGGUAGUCCACGCCGUAAACGAUGAGUGCUAAGUGUUAGGGGGUUUCCGCCCCUUAGUGCUGCAGCAAACGCAUUAAGCACUCCGCCUGGGGAGUACGGCCGCAAGGCUGAAACUCAAAGGAAUUGACGGG
RNAcentral lists this ribosomal RNA (514 nucleotides) under bacterium. RNAcentral's name for it is "bacterial SSU rRNA". It matches the Rfam family "Bacterial small subunit ribosomal RNA", at positions 411 to 917 of the family's 1533-position model. The record is from RNAcentral.